Ribosomal RNA from Piliocolobus tephrosceles (Ugandan red Colobus), 125 nucleotides. Lineage: Eukaryota; Metazoa; Chordata; Mammalia; Primates; Cercopithecidae. The record is from Ensembl.
UGGGGCGGCCAGGCACUCCUUGCUGACUUCUAGGGCCAUACCCUCCUCACUCUGGAAGCUAAGCAAGGUCUGCCCGGCAAGGACCUGGAUGGGAGACCACCUGGGAAUACUUCAAGCAGUGUAAG